GACUCUGGUAUUGAUUGGUGCUUGCAUCAUGAUUUACAUUUGAGUGAGUGGCGAACUGGUGAGUAACACGUGGGAAACCUGCCCAGAAGCGGGGGAUAACACCUGGAAACAGAUGCUAAUACCGCAUAACAACUUGGACCGCAUGGUCCGAGUUUGAAAGAUGGCUUCGGCUAUCACUUUUGGAUGGUCCCGCGGCGUAUUAGCUAGAUGGUGGGGUAACGGCUCACCAUGGCAAUGAUACGUAGCCGACCUGAGAGGGUAAUCGGCCACAUUGGGACUGAGACACGGCCCAAACUCCUACGGGAGGCAGCAGUAGGGAAUCUUCCACAAUGGACGAAAGUCUGAUGGAGCAACGCCGCGUGAGUGAAGAAGGGUUUCGGCUCGUAAAACUCUGUUGUUAAAGAAGAACAUAUCUGAGAGUAACUGUUCAGGUAUUGACGGUAUUUAACCAGAAAGCCACGGCUAACUACGUGCCAGCAGCCGCGGUAAUACGUAGGUGGCAAGCGUUGUCCGGAUUUAUUGGGCGUAAAGCGAGCGCAGGCGGUUUUUUAAGUCUGAUGUGAAAGCCUUCGGCUCAACCGAAGAAGUGCAUCGGAAACUGGGAAACUUGAGUGCAGAAGAGGACAGUGGAACUCCAUGUGUAGCGGUGAAAUGCGUAGAUAUAUGGAAGAACACCAGUGGCGAAGGCGGCUGUCUGGUCUGUAACUGACGCUGAGGCUCGAAAGUAUGGGUAGCAAA
Molecule: ribosomal RNA, 738 nt
Filed under: Lactiplantibacillus plantarum
Lineage: Bacteria; Bacillati; Bacillota; Bacilli; Lactobacillales; Lactobacillaceae
Description: bacterial SSU rRNA
Rfam family: Bacterial small subunit ribosomal RNA
Source: RNAcentral